This 1523-nucleotide ribosomal RNA is filed under the name Salmonella enterica. RNAcentral describes it as "bacterial SSU rRNA". It matches the Rfam family "Bacterial small subunit ribosomal RNA". The record is from RNAcentral. RNAcentral also lists the same sequence under 1 other name. Lineage: Bacteria; Pseudomonadati; Pseudomonadota; Gammaproteobacteria; Enterobacterales; Enterobacteriaceae.
AGAGUUUGAUCAUGGCUCAGAUUGAACGCUGGCGGCAGGCCUAACACAUGCAAGUCGAACGGUAACAGGAAGCAGCUUGGCUGCUUUGCUGACGAGUGGCGGACGGGUGAGUAAUGUCUGGGAAACUGCCUGAUGGAGGGGGAUAACUACUGGAAACGGUGGCUAAUACCGCAUAACGUCGCAAGACCAAAGAGGGGGACCUUCGGGCCUCUUGCCAUCAGAUGUGCCCAGAUGGGAUUAGCUUGUUGGUGAGGUAACGGCUCACCAAGGCGACGAUCCCUAGCUGGUCUGAGAGGAUGACCAGCCACACUGGAACUGAGACACGGUCCAGACUCCUACGGGAGGCAGCAGUGGGGAAUAUUGCACAAUGGGCGCAAGCCUGAUGCAGCCAUGCCGCGUGUAUGAAGAAGGCCUUCGGGUUGUAAAGUACUUUCAGCGGGGAGGAAGGUGUUGUGGUUAAUAACCGCAGCAAUUGACGUUACCCGCAGAAGAAGCACCGGCUAACUCCGUGCCAGCAGCCGCGGUAAUACGGAGGGUGCAAGCGUUAAUCGGAAUUACUGGGCGUAAAGCGCACGCAGGCGGUCUGUCAAGUCGGAUGUGAAAUCCCCGGGCUCAACCUGGGAACUGCAUUCGAAACUGGCAGGCUUGAGUCUUGUAGAGGGGGGUAGAAUUCCAGGUGUAGCGGUGAAAUGCGUAGAGAUCUGGAGGAAUACCGGUGGCGAAGGCGGCCCCCUGGACAAAGACUGACGCUCAGGUGCGAAAGCGUGGGGAGCAAACAGGAUUAGAUACCCUGGUAGUCCACGCCGUAAACGAUGUCUACUUGGAGGUUGUGCCCUUGAGGCGUGGCUUCCGGAGCUAACGCGUUAAGUAGACCGCCUGGGGAGUACGGCCGCAAGGUUAAAACUCAAAUGAAUUGACGGGGGCCCGCACAAGCGGUGGAGCAUGUGGUUUAAUUCGAUGCAACGCGAAGAACCUUACCUGGUCUUGACAUCCACAGAACUUUCCAGAGAUGGAUUGGUGCCUUCGGGAACUGUGAGACAGGUGCUGCAUGGCUGUCGUCAGCUCGUGUUGUGAAAUGUUGGGUUAAGUCCCGCAACGAGCGCAACCCUUAUCCUUUGUUGCCAGCGGUCCGGCCGGGAACUCAAAGGAGACUGCCAGUGAUAAACUGGAGGAAGGUGGGGAUGACGUCAAGUCAUCAUGGCCCUUACGACCAGGGCUACACACGUGCUACAAUGGCGCAUACAAAGAGAAGCGACCUCGCGAGAGUAAGCGGACCUCAUAAAGUGCGUCGUAGUCCGGAUUGGAGUCUGCAACUCGACUCCAUGAAGUCGGAAUCGCUAGUAAUCGUGGAUCAGAAUGCCACGGUGAAUACGUUCCCGGGCCUUGUACACACCGCCCGUCACACCAUGGGAGUGGGUUGCAAAAGAAGUAGGUAGCUUAACCUUCGGGAGGGCGCUUACCACUUUGUGAUUCAUGACUGGGGUGAAGUCGUAACAAGGUAACCGUAGGGGAACCUGCGGUUG